RNAcentral lists this unclassified non-coding RNA (2002 nucleotides) under Hevea brasiliensis (rubber tree). Lineage: Eukaryota; Viridiplantae; Streptophyta; Magnoliopsida; Malpighiales; Euphorbiaceae. The record is from RNAcentral.
UUAUUUUCAAUUUUUUUUAUCUAAAUUAAUUAAAAAUCUUAAUUUAAGUUUAAUUUAAUUCAAAAAUUAACUUGAUUUAUUAACUUAGACAAAAACAUUAAAAAAUUUAUUUUCUUAAUUUAGUUUAAAAAUAAAUUUUUACACUAAUUUAAAUAAAAAGAAUGUCCCAAUAAGUGAAAUUGCGCAUUAAAUCAUUUAAUUUUCUUUAUGUAAUAUUUUAGCAUUUUACUGUCUGCAAGGCUGUAUCACUGUUUGAAUUGAUGGUGUAGCCCUCUAAAUUUAGAUUUGGGCCAAAUCCUUUAAUUUGCAGUCUAAAUAAAUUUGGAUUUUGGAUUUGGAUUUUAGUAAAAUCCAAGAUUUAUAACAGAGGGCCAAAAAUUGCGGAAAUUGUAUUAUAAAACUGUAAUUUUAUAUAGGCAUAUUAUAUGAAAUGAUAAGUUAGAAAUAAAAAAAAAUACAUAUAUAAAUUUUGUUAUUAAAUGUUUAAAAAUAAAAAUUACUUGAUAAAUAUUUGAUAAUUAUAAUUUUAUAGGAUUCACAUGCGUAUGUAUAUUUAUUUUUUAUUAGUCUGUUAUUUUAUAUAGGGCAAGAAAUCGCUACUAUAUAAUUAGUUAAUUACUUCAAAAUUAUGUCGUAGAUAAGACUGAAAUUAGUCAAGAAUUUCCCCGAUGGCGCAUUCUCCUGAUACUCACCUCUUUUCAUAAAAAAUUUUCCUUCCAUUAUUCACUCGACACGCCUCAUUUUCCUUCGAUUCUUCCCUCAAGCCGUUUAUCCCCUCAACCCGCUGCCUUGGUUUUUCAACUCGACACUCGUUGCAGUCUCUUCUCGGCUUUCCUUCGUCUCAGCUUAGGUAUUAGUCUCAACUCUUCAAUGGUUGAUUUCUAUUGAGUAUUGUUUGUUUUUGCUCUGUUGGGUACUGUUUGUUUUUAUAGAGAUAUUGUACACUAAAUUUUUGUUAGCUCAUUUCUGCCUGAAAUUUCCUAAAUGUGUUUUCUAUCGUUGCUGCUCUGUUUUGUUUCAGUUUCUAUUCAUGUGCUAAUUGGCUGGUGAAAAUUAAGGGAAUAAUUUUGCUCAUGUAAUGGGUUUGAAGCAGAUUGCUUUGUGCCCAGUGUGCACUAUUGAUAAGAAAUGUAACGCUUGUAUUUCUUUGUAUUCUUCAGAAUUGAUUAAAAUCCUUGUGUAAUCCCUAAUUUUGUUUUUCUGUGGAUCAAGAUUUUCAAAAGCCAAGUCCAAUUGAGGUGUUUGCUGUAUUGAUUUCCUUGAAUUUUCUAUUCCCAGUUACAAAUUUAUUUGGAAUAGAGAUAUUGAUUACAAAUGAAAGUUGCAAGUUUAGUGGUAAAUUUACAAAUUAUAAGCAUUGCUGGUGCAAGCUGUCCGGUACUUUGUUCCCCCAGCUGCAAUAUGAUGCUACUGAGUGGAGAAUCAAAAUUUAACUUGUGAAAUUUUUUAGGCUCCUGGUCUUUUGAGUUUUACAUGGUUAUUUCUUGUUGCUUUUGUUUAAAAAGAAAAUAGAAAAAAGCUUAGGUGAGGGAGGUUUCAGGCAUACCAUGAAUCCCCUCAGGAUUACAGCGGUGCUUAUAGAUCGCUUACCAAGAGAGGUUCAGUUGAAACAUUCGAACCCUCAACCUAAUGGGAGAGUUUGAUUGAAUACUACUGGUUCACCAACUCUCGUUGACCCUGCAGGUCAUUCUUUAGUGCCACUCGUCCUUGCUGUCUUCUUUUGUUCAUAAACUGAUUAAAGAGACUAGGCAGAGAUUAACCUGCACAUGUUAUAAUAAAGUUGUGUUACUGUAUUAGAUGUCAUACAUAACACAUGGAUAAAUUUUAAGAUAUUUUUGAUGCAUAAUGCUUUUGUUAAUUCCUAGUCAAAUAAAAUAUUGCUAUUACAAUUUUCUCAACAGUUUUAAUGUAAGCCAUUUUCAUUUACAAUUGCUGUAAUGACUAUGCUCACCAUGUAUAAUAAUGAUUGUAUAUGUAAGUUAUCAAAUAACUUAUAUUAAUU